RNAcentral lists this ribosomal RNA (274 nucleotides) under uncultured bacterium. RNAcentral describes it as "partial 16S ribosomal RNA". It matches the Rfam family "Bacterial small subunit ribosomal RNA", at positions 523 to 796 of the family's 1533-position model. The record is from RNAcentral.
AAACCUAGGGGGCAAACGUUGCUCGGAAUUACUGGGCGUAAAGGGUGUGUAGGUGGCUGAGUAAGUCAAAGAUGAAAUCCCUAGGCUCAACUUAGGAAUUGUCUUUGAAACUGCUCAGCUUGAGGAUAGUUGAGGAGAACGGAAUUCCCGGUGGAGCGGUGAAAUGCGUAGAUAUCGGGAGGAACACCAGAGGCGAAGGCGGUUCUCUGAGCUAUUCCUGACACUGAGACACGAAAGCUAGGGGAGCAAACGGGAUUAGAUACCCGAGUAGUCC